GAUGAACGCUGGCGGCGUGCCUAAUACAUGCAAGUCGAGCGAACGGACGAGAAGCUUGCUUUUCUGACGUUAGCGGCGGACGGGUGAGUAACACGUGGAUAACCUACCUAUAAGACUGGGAUAACUUCGGGAAACCGGAGCUAAUACCGGAUAAUAUAUUGAACCGCAUGGUUCAAUAGUGAAAGACGGUCUUGCUGUCACUUAUAGAUGGAUCCGCGCUGCAUUAGCUAGUUGGUAAGGUAACGGCUUACCAAGGCAACGAUGCGUAGCCGACCUGAGAGGGUGAUCGGCCACACUGGAACUGAGACACGGUCCAGACUCCUACGGGAGGCAGCAGUAGGGAAUCUUCCGCAAUGGGCGAAAGCCUGACGGAGCAACGCCGCGUGAGUGAUGAAGGUCUUCGGAUCGUAAAACUCUGUUAUUAGGGAAGAACAUAUGUGUAAGUAACUAUGCACGUCUUGACGGUACCUAAUCAGAAAGCCACGGCUAACUACGUG
RNAcentral lists this ribosomal RNA (497 nucleotides) under uncultured bacterium. RNAcentral describes it as "partial 16S ribosomal RNA". It matches the Rfam family "Bacterial small subunit ribosomal RNA", at positions 28 to 507 of the family's 1533-position model. The record is from RNAcentral.